Molecule: long non-coding RNA, 440 nt
Filed under: Salmo salar (Atlantic salmon)
Lineage: Eukaryota; Metazoa; Chordata; Actinopteri; Salmoniformes; Salmonidae
Description: lncRNA (ENSSSAG00000104227.1)
Source: RNAcentral
CCGGUCUGCAGCCAACAAGGCUGAGUUCAUCUCAGCCUAUGCUACCCUCCAGUCCCUAGACUUCCUGGCGCUGACGGAAACAUGGAUUACCACAGAUAACACUGCUACUCCUACUGCUCUCUCUUCGUCUGCCCACGUUUUCUCGCAUACCCCUAGAGCAUCGAGCCAGACGGGGUGGUGGCACUGGAAUCCUCAUCUCUCCCAAGUUCCCUUGGAGAGUUCAUCAAUGAGCUUGACGCCUUGAUAAGUUCCUUUCCUGAGGAUGGCUCACCUCUCACAGUUCUAGACCAUUUCCGGAGACCUUCUCCCCUUCCUCACCUCGCUCAUCAACUCAUCCUUGACCGCUGGCUACGUCCCUUCCGUCUUCAAGAGAGCGAGAGUUGCACCCCUUCUGAAAAAACCUACACUCGAUCCCUCCGAUGUCAACAACUACAGACCAG